CCAAUAGCGUAUAUUAAAGUUGUUGCAGUUAAAAAGCUCGUAGUUGAAUUUCGGGGUUAGUAGGUUGGUCAUGCCACUGGUAUGUACUGGUCUCACUGAUUCCUCCUUCCUGAUGAACCGUAAUGCCAUUAAUUUAGUGUGGUGGGAAAUCAGGACUGUUACUUUGAAAAAAUUAGAGUGUUUAAAGCAGGCUCACGCUUGAAUACAUUAGCAUGGAAUAAUGAAAUAGGACGUUGAUCCUAUUUUGUUGGUUUCUAGGAUUGACGUAAUGAUUAAUAGGGAUAGUUGGGGGCAUUAGUAUUCAAUUGUCAGAGGUGAAAUUCUUGGAUUUAUUGAAGACUAACUACUGCGAAAGCAUUUGCCAAGGAUGUUUUCAUUAAUCAAGAACGAAAGUUAGGGGAUCGAAGACGAUCAGAUACCGUCGUAGUCUUAACCAUAAACUAUGCCGACUAGGGAUCGGAUGAUGUUAAUUUUUUAAUGACUCAUUCGGCGCCUUACG
Molecule: ribosomal RNA, 499 nt
Filed under: uncultured Glomeromycotina
Lineage: Eukaryota; Fungi; Glomeromycota
Description: partial small subunit ribosomal RNA
Rfam family: Eukaryotic small subunit ribosomal RNA
Source: RNAcentral